UGGGGAAUCUUCCGCAAUGGACGAAAGUCUGACGGAGCAACGCCGCGUGAGUGAUGACGGUCUUCGGAUUGUAAAGCUCUGUUAAUCGGGACGAAUGGUUUAUGUGCAAAUAGUGCAUAGACAUAACGGUACCGGAAUAGAAAGCCACGGCUAACUACGUGCCAGCAGCCGCGGUAAUACGUAGGUGGCAAGCGUUGUCCGGAAUUAUUGGGCGUAAAGCGCGGGCAGGCGGACGAGCCAGUCAGUCUUAAAAGUUCGGGGCUUAACCCCGUGAUGGGAUUGAAACUGCUAGUCUAGAGUAUCGGAGAGGAAAGUGGAAUUCCUAGUGUAGCGGUGAAAUGCGUAGAUAUUAGGAAGAACACCAGUGGCGAAGGCGACUUUCUGGACGAACACUGACGCUGAGGCGCGAAAGCCAGGGGAGCGAACAGG
Molecule: ribosomal RNA, 429 nt
Filed under: bacterium
Lineage: Bacteria
Description: partial 16S ribosomal RNA
Rfam family: Bacterial small subunit ribosomal RNA
Source: RNAcentral